CUCUAUGUGUUGCUCUCUUCACAGGGUUUCCCGGGAUUUCCUGGAAUGCUGGGGCAGAAAGGUGAAAUGGGUCCAAAGGGUGAGCCUGGGAUAACAGGACCCAGAGGACCCAGAGGAAGACCAGGAAAACGAGGCAAGCUGGGGCAGAAGGGAGAGAGUGGAGUAAUGGGCCCACCAGGCAAGCCUGGGCCUUCUGGUCAACCUGGCCGUCCGGGUCCCCCAGGCCCCCCGGGCCCCCCAUCCGCAGGU
RNAcentral lists this long non-coding RNA (249 nucleotides) under Ursus americanus (American black bear). Its description in RNAcentral is "lncRNA (ENSUAMG00000027897.1)". The record is from RNAcentral. Lineage: Eukaryota; Metazoa; Chordata; Mammalia; Carnivora; Ursidae.